CCUACGGGAGGCAGCAGUAAGGAAUAUUGGUCAAUGGACGCAAGUCUGAACCAGCCAUGCCGCGUGCAGGAAGACGGCCCUAUGGGUUGUAAACUGCUUUUGUACGGGAAAAACCUCCGGUCGUGCACCGGAGCUGAUGUACCGAAG
Molecule: ribosomal RNA, 147 nt
Filed under: uncultured bacterium
Lineage: Bacteria
Description: partial 16S ribosomal RNA
Rfam family: Bacterial small subunit ribosomal RNA
Source: RNAcentral